GACGAACGCUGGCGGCGUGCUUAACACAUGCAAGUCGAACGGAAAGGCCCUGCUUUUGUGGGGUGCUCGAGUGGCGAACGGGUGAGUAACACGUGAGUAACCUGCCCUUGACUUUGGGAUAACUUCAGGAAACUGGGGCUAAUACCGGAUAGGAGCUCCUGCUGCAUGGUGGGGGUUGGAAAGUUUCGGCGGUUGGGGAUGGACUCGCGGCUUAUCAGCUUGUUGGUGGGGUAGUGGCUUACCAAGGCUUUGACGGGUAGCCGGCCUGAGAGGGUGACCGGCCACAUUGGGACUGAGAUACGGCCCAGACUCCUACGGGAGGGAGCAGUGGGGAAUAUUGCACAAUGGGCGGAAGCCGGAUGCAGCAACGCCGCGUGCGGGAUGACGGCCUUCGGGUUGUAAACCGCUUUCGCCUGUGACGAAGCGUGAGUGACGGUAAUGGGUAAAGAAGCACCGGCUAACUACGUG
This 468-nucleotide ribosomal RNA is filed under the name uncultured bacterium. Its description in RNAcentral is "partial 16S ribosomal RNA". It matches the Rfam family "Bacterial small subunit ribosomal RNA", at positions 28 to 507 of the family's 1533-position model. The record is from RNAcentral.